GUUCAAGUGACUCUAAGAGUCACUUGAACAGACUGCUAGGGAAGGAAGUCAUCAGGAGGAAAUCUGGACAUAGUUAGGAAAUGUGGAAGCAGUAAGAAGAUGCUGCUGGCGGAGCCUUGUCCUCACAAAGGACUUUGAUCGUCUCCAUAUCAGAAAUGCAGUGUGUGUGUGUGUGUGUGUGUGUUUAUGUAUUUAUCUACAUUCUUAGGUCAAUCGAACUUCAGAUGUGCAGAAAGAGUGCUCCGUUUGGAAGAAGUUCAACCUGACUUCUGAAUUCUGAGAUCACACUGCACAGCGUAAUUGAAACCUGAUUAACAGAAGGAAAACCUGAAUUUUUUGUCCACAUACUUCAACAAAAAGAAAAAGUUGAAACAGAUUGGGUGCAGGCAUGUAUAUUAAAAUCCAAC
Molecule: long non-coding RNA, 407 nt
Filed under: Chinchilla lanigera (long-tailed chinchilla)
Lineage: Eukaryota; Metazoa; Chordata; Mammalia; Rodentia; Chinchillidae
Description: lncRNA (ENSCLAG00000023997.1)
Source: RNAcentral